UCAAGUGAAUAAGUGCAUGUGGUGGAUGCCUUGGCGAUUACAGGCGAUGAAGGACGUUGUAGCCUGCGAUAAGCCGCGGGGAGCUGGCAAACAAGCUUUGAUCCGCGGAUGUCCGAAUGGGGAAACCCACCCGCAAGGGUAUCGCUGACUGAAUCCAUAGGUCAGCGAGGCGAACGUGGCGAACUGAAACAUCUAAGUAGCCACAGGAAAAGAAAUCAACCGAGAUUCCGAAAGUAGUGGCGAGCGAAAUCGGAGCAGCCUGUGCGUGAUAGUCGAUUGGCUAGUGGAACGGUAUGGAAAGGCCGGCCAUAGAGGGUGAUAGCCCCUUACACGAAAGCGAAUCGGUGGUACUGAGCGUACGACAAGUAGGGCGGGACACGUGUAAUCCUGUCUGAAGAUGGGGGGACCAUCCUCCAAGGCUAAAUACUCGUAAUCGACCGAUAGUGAACAAGUACUGUGAAGGAAAGGCGAAAAGAACCCCGGGAGGGGAGUGAAAUAGAUCCUGAAACCGCAUGCAUACAAACAGUCGGAGCCUCGCAAGGGGUGACGGCGUACCUUUUGUAUAAUGGGUCAGCGACUUACAUUCAGUGGCAAGCUUAACCAGAUAGGGGAGGCGCAGGGAAACCGAGUCCGAACAGGGCGCCAUAGUCGCUGGGUGUAGACCCGAAACCAGGUGAUCUAUCCAUGGUCAGGAUGAAGGUUGGGUAACACCAGCUGGAGGUCCGAACCGACUAAUGUUGCAAAAUUAGCGGAUGAACUGUGGAUAGGGGUGAAAGGCUAAUCAAACCUGGAAAUAGCUGGUUCUCCCCGAAAACUAUUUAGGUAGUGCGUCAUGUAUUGCUCCAGGGGGUAGAGCACUGUAAUGGUUGUGGGGGCCAUCGCGGCUUACCACGCCAUAGCAAACUCCGAAUACCUGGAAGUAUGAGCAUGGCAGACAGUCGCCGGGUGCUAACGUCCGGCGGCAAGAGGGAAACAACCCAGACCUACAGCUAAGGUCCCAAAGUGUGGCUAAGUGGGAAACGAAGUGGGAAGGCUAAAACAGUCAGGAUGUUGGCUUAGAAGCAGCCAUCAUUUAAAGAAAGCGUAAUAGCUCACUGAUCGAGUCGUCCUGCGCGGAAGAUGUAACGGGGCUAAGCCAUGCACCGAAGCUUAGGCUGCACUCUCUGAGUGCGGGGUAGGGGAGCGUUCUGUAAGCCUGUGAAGGUGUCUCGUAAGGGAUGCUGGAGGUAUCAGAAGUGCGAAUGCUGACAUGAGUAGCGUUAAAGCGGGUGAAAAGCCCGCUCGCCGUAAGCGCAAGGUUUCCUACGCAACGUUCAUCGGCGUAGGGUGAGUCGGCCCCUAAGGUGAGGGCGAAAGCCAUAGCUGAUGGGAAGCUGGUUAAUAUUCCAGCACCGAUUUCUAGUGCGAUGGGGGGACGGAUCGUGGAAGGUUGUCCGGGUGUUGGAAGUCCCGGUUCCUGACCUGUAGGUGUCUGGUAGGUAAAUCCGCCAGGCAUAUGCCGAGGGGUUGGGACGAGCGAGCUUGCUCGCGAAGCAACUGGAAGUGGUUCCAAGAAAAGCCUCUAAGCUUCAGCUAGAAACGACCGUACCGCAAACCAACACUGGUGCGCGAGAUGAGUAUUCUCAGGCGCUUGAGAGAACUCGGGAGAAGGAACUCGGCAAAUUGACACCGUAACUUCGGAAGAAGGUGUGCCUUGGUAGCUUGAGUGUGAACAACACAAGGGCGAAGAGGUUGCAAAGAAUAGGUGGCUGCGACUGUUUAUUAAAAACACAGCACUCUGCAAACACGAAAGUGGACGUAUAGGGUGUGACGCCUGCCCGGUGCCGGAAGGUUAAGUGAUGGGGUGCAAGCUCUUGAUCGAAGCCCCGGUAAACGGCGGCCGUAACUAUAACGGUCCUAAGGUAGCGAAAUUCCUUGUCGGGUAAGUUCCGACCUGCACGAAUGGCGUAACGAUGGCCACACUGUCUCCUCCCGAGACUCAGCGAAGUUG
This 1990-nucleotide ribosomal RNA is filed under the name human metagenome. Its description in RNAcentral is "bacterial LSU rRNA". It matches the Rfam family "Bacterial large subunit ribosomal RNA", at positions 3 to 2044 of the family's 2925-position model. The record is from RNAcentral.